AUACUAAAGUUGAAAGGAUAUAGAAAAGAUUAGUACGCUCCCUGCACAAGGAUGCCAUGUAACUUUGUGAAGAGCUACAUAUUUCU
Molecule: small nuclear RNA, 86 nt
Filed under: Cervus elaphus hippelaphus
Lineage: Eukaryota; Metazoa; Chordata; Mammalia; Artiodactyla; Cervidae
Source: RNAcentral